RNAcentral lists this ribosomal RNA (1305 nucleotides) under uncultured bacterium. RNAcentral's name for it is "bacterial SSU rRNA". It matches the Rfam family "Bacterial small subunit ribosomal RNA", at positions 28 to 1381 of the family's 1533-position model. The record is from RNAcentral.
GAUGAAUGCUGGCGGCGUGCCUAACACAUGCAAGUCGAGCGGUAACACUUCGGGUGACGAGCGGCGGACGGCUGAGUAACGCGUGGGAAUUUGCCCCAAAGUGAGGAAUAAGCACCGGAAACGGUGUCUAAUGCCGCAUAUGGUCUUCGGAUUAAAGUCUUCGGACGCUUUGGGAGAAGCCCGCGUUGGAUUAGGUUGUUGGUGAGGUAAUGGCUCACCAAGCCGACAAUCCAUAGCUGGUCUGAGAGGAUGAUCAGCCAGACUGGAACUGAGACACGGUCCAGACUCCUACGGGAGGCAGCAGUGAGGAAUCUUCCACAAUGGGCGAAAGCCUGAUGGAGCAACGCCGCGUGCAGGAUGAAGGCCUUCGGGUCGUAAACUGCUUUUAUGAGUGAAGAAUAUGACGGUAACUCAUGAAUAAGCACCGGCUAACUACGUGCCAGCAGCCGCGGUCAUACGUAGGGUGCAAGCAUUAUCCGGAGUGACUGGGCGUAAAGAGUUGCGUAGGCGGUUAGUUAAGUGAAUAGUGAAAUCUGGUGGCUCAACCAUACAGACUAUUAUUCAAACUGGCUAACUCGAGAGUAGUAGAGGUAACUGGAAUUUCUUGUGUAGGAGUGAAAUCCGUAGAUAUAAGAAGGAACACCAAUGGCGUAGGCAGGUUACUGGGCUAUCUCUGACGCUAAGGCACGAAAGCGUGGGGAGCGAACCGGAUUAGAUACCCGGGUAGUCCACGCCGUAAACGAUGGAUACUAGCUGUAGGAGGUAUCGACCCCUUCUGUAGCGAAGCUAACGCGUUAAGUAUCCCGCCUGUGGAGUACGGCCGCAAGGCUAAAACAUAAAGGAAUUGACGGGGACCCGCACAAGCGGUGGAUUAUGUUCUUUAAUUCGAUGAUAACCGAAGAACCUUACCAGGGCUUGACAUCCAGGGAAGGACUACGAAAGUAGUUUGUGCCUUUUGGAACCCUGUGACAGGUGAUGCAUGGCCGUCGUCAGCUCGUGUCGUGAGAUGUUAGGUUAAGUCCUUCAACGAGCGCAACCCUUAUUGUCAGUUGGAUUUUUCUGGCAAGACUGCCCCGGUAACGGGGAGGAAGGAGGGGAUGAUGUCAGGUCAGUAUUUCCCUUACGUCCUGGGCUAGAAACGUAAUACAAUGGCUAGUACGAAUGCGCAGCGAAAGCCGCGAGGUGAAAGCAAAUCGCAUCAAAGCUAGUCCCAGUUUCGGAUUGCAGGCUGAAACUCGCCUGCAUGAAGUCGGAAUCGCUAGUAAUCGCAGAUCAGCAAGCUGCGGUGAAUACGUUCCCGGGUCU